RNAcentral lists this ribosomal RNA (482 nucleotides) under uncultured bacterium. Its description in RNAcentral is "partial 16S ribosomal RNA". It matches the Rfam family "Bacterial small subunit ribosomal RNA", at positions 30 to 507 of the family's 1533-position model. The record is from RNAcentral.
AUUGAACGGUGGCGGCAUGCUUUACACAUGCAAGUCGAACGGUAACAGGCCGCAAGGUGCUGACGAGUGGCGAACGGGUGAGUAAUGCAUCGGAACGUGCCCAGUCGUGGGGGAUAACUACUCGAAAGAGUAGCUAAUACCGCAUACGAUCUAUGGAUGAAAGCGGGGGACCGUAAGGCCUCGCGCGAUUGGAGCGGCCGAUGUCAGAUUAGGUAGUUGGUGGGGUAAAGGCUCACCAAGCCAACGAUCUGUAGCUGGUCUGAGAGGACGACCAGCCACACUGGGACUGAGACACGGCCCAGACUCCUACGGGAGGCAGCAGUGGGGAAUUUUGGACAAAGGGCGCAAGCCUGAUCCAGCAAUGCCGCGUGCAGGAAGAAGGCCUUCGGGUUGUAAACUGCUUUUGUACGGAACGAAACGGCUCUGGUUAAUACCCGGGGCUAAUGACGGUACCGUAAGAAUAAGCACCGGCUAACUACGUG